This 497-nucleotide ribosomal RNA is filed under the name uncultured bacterium. RNAcentral's name for it is "partial 16S ribosomal RNA". It matches the Rfam family "Bacterial small subunit ribosomal RNA", at positions 28 to 507 of the family's 1533-position model. The record is from RNAcentral.
GAUGAACGCUGGCGGCGUGCCUAAUACAUGCCAGUCGAGCGAACGGACGAGAAGCUUGCUUCUCUGAUGUUAGCGGCGGACGGGUGAGUAACACGUGGAUAACCUACCUAUAAGACUGGGAUAACUUCGGGAAACCGGAGCUAAUACCGGAUAAUAUUUUGAACCGCUUGGUUCAAAAGUGAAAGACGGUCUUGCUGUCACUUAUAGAUGGAUCCGCGCUGCAUUAGCUAGUUGGUAAGGUAACGGCUUACCAAGGCAACGAUGCAUAGCCGACCUGAGAGGGUGAUCGGCCACACUGGAACUGAGACACGGUCCAGACUCCUACGGGAGGCAGCAGUAGGGAAUCUUCCGCAAUGGGCGAAAGCCUGACGGAGCAACGCCGCGUGAGUGAUGAAGGUCUUCGGAUCGUAAAACUCUGUUAUUAGGGAAGAACAUAUGUGUAAGUAACUGUGCACAUCUUGACGGUACCUAAUCAGAAAGCCACGGCUAACUACGUG